This 66-nucleotide transfer RNA is filed under the name Marmota monax (woodchuck). RNAcentral's name for it is "tRNA.Ala". The record is from RNAcentral. Lineage: Eukaryota; Metazoa; Chordata; Mammalia; Rodentia; Sciuridae.
GGUUGUGGCUCAGUGGUAGAGUGCCCGCCUAGCAUACAGGAGGCACUGGGUUCAAUCCUCAGCCCA